Molecule: ribosomal RNA, 505 nt
Filed under: uncultured bacterium
Lineage: Bacteria
Description: bacterial SSU rRNA
Rfam family: Bacterial small subunit ribosomal RNA
Source: RNAcentral
AUGCCUAAUACAUGCAAGUCGAGCGAAUGGAUUGAGAGCUUGCUCUCAAGAAGUUAGCGGCGGACGGGUGAGGAAUGCAUCGGAAUCUACUUUUUCGUGGGGGAUAACGUAGGGAAACUUACGCUAAUACCGCAUACGACCUACGGGUGAAAGCAGGGGAUCUUCGGACCUUGCGCGAUUGAAUGAGCCGAUGUCGGAUUAGCUAGUUGGCGGGGUAAAGGCCCACCAAGGCGACGAUCCUGUAGCUGGUCUGAGAGGAUGAUCAGCCACACUGGAACUGAGACACGGUCCAGACUCCUACGGGAGGCAGCAGUGGGGAAUAUUGGACAAUGGGCGCAAGCCUGAUCCAGCCAUACCGCGUGGGUGAAGAAGGCCUUCGGGUUGUAAAGCCCUUUAGUUGGGAAAGAAAUCCAGCUGGCUAAUACCCGGUUGGGAUGACGGUACCCAAAGAAUAAGCACCGGCUAACUUCGGUGCCAGCAAGCCGCGGUAAUACCGAAGGGGUGC